GGGCAUCUCCUCGUUGGCGCAGGUCCAAGGGGAGACCAAGGGUCCGGACUCGGAGUUGCUGCUGCGAGUCUCACCUUCGACCCGGAGGAGCCCGGCCGGCGGCAAAGGGUGAGGACCUGGGGGGGUCUCCUCAGACGCUGGAAUCUGAGGCCCAGGCUCCUCUUCUGGGGCGGAAGGACGAGAUUUCCUGGAGUCGAGGUUCCGGUCUUACCCUAACAGCGGCUUUCGUGUCCAGUGGAGAUUCAGGGGCGAGAAAUUCUGAACAAAAUCAGAAUAAACUGGAAAAAGGCCAAUUAAAAUUCUUAAUAAAAUAGUACCGGAAUACAACACUGCUUGGAAUUCAGGUCUUGAACCGUUAACACGAAAGCUCAGAGGCAGUCACCCUGGCUGCUCAGGGACAUCAGAGCCCUUCAAGACUCGGGUGCUGCCACGUCCGUGUGGCCCUCGCGGUUCCGGGGCAGCGCGUGGGUCCGACGCAGAACAGGAGUGAGUAAAAACUGCUGAGCGCCGCCCCAAAGACGAGGUUCCACCGAGACUCGAACUCGGAUUCACGCUGGAUUCAGAGUCCAGAGUGCUCGCCAUCACACCAUGGAACCACCGGGGACCCUUCAGCUGGGAUCACUGAAUUCAGAGGCCAGAGUGCUCACCAUAACGCAGACCCUCCCGCAGCCCGUCCCUGCCAGCAGUUGAGCCAGGCGCGCGCAGCCCCGCCGGCCCAGGACCCGCUUCCCGCCGGGCGCGCUCCUCAGCCGCGCGCAGCCCGCGUCCUCCGCGACGCCAGGGGGCGCCGGCCUUGCCUGCCCUCGGCCUCCCUGCAGGUUAGUACGUCCAGGAGGACAUGAAAUCCACUGGGGUCAGCGACAGGGCAGGGCUUUCAGGCCUCCCCCAAGUCCACCUGCUCUGCCAGCAUUUGUGGAGUGUUCUACGCUGAGGAGUUCUACUUCAGCGCAGGAAACUCUACAAAUGCUGGCAGAACAGAGGGUUUGGGGUGGGCCCUGCCCUGUCGCUGACCUCAACGGAUUUUAUCGUCCUCUGGUACAAACCUGCCCGGAGGCCGCGGGCAGGCGAGUCCGGAGCCUCCUGGCGUCGAGGCGGAAGCGGGCUGGGGGCUGCGGGGUGAGGAGCGCGCCCGGCGGGAGGCGGGGCCUGGGCCGGCGGGGCUGCGCGCGGCCUGGCCCAGCGGCUGCAAGGUAAAGGCCGGUGGGCGGUUCCAUGGUGUA
This 1220-nucleotide transfer RNA is filed under the name Sus scrofa (pig). RNAcentral's name for it is "lncRNA (ENSSSCG00035066986.1)". The record is from RNAcentral. Lineage: Eukaryota; Metazoa; Chordata; Mammalia; Artiodactyla; Suidae.